UACGUAGGGUGCAAGCGUUAAUCGGAAUUACUGGGCGUAAAGCGUGCGCAGGCGGUUAUGCAAGACAGAUGUGAAAUCCCCCGGGCUCAACCUGGGAACUGCAUUUGUGACUGCAUGGCUAGAGUACGGUAGAGGGGGGAUGGAAUUCCGCGUGUAGCAGUGAAAUGCGUAGAUAUGCGGAGGAACACCGAUGGCGAAGGCAAUCCCCUGGACCUGUACUGACGCUCAUGCACGAAAGCGUGGGGAGCAAACAGG
This 255-nucleotide ribosomal RNA is filed under the name uncultured bacterium. Its description in RNAcentral is "partial 16S ribosomal RNA". It matches the Rfam family "Bacterial small subunit ribosomal RNA", at positions 524 to 776 of the family's 1533-position model. The record is from RNAcentral.